RNAcentral lists this ribosomal RNA (452 nucleotides) under uncultured bacterium. Its description in RNAcentral is "bacterial SSU rRNA". It matches the Rfam family "Bacterial small subunit ribosomal RNA", at positions 355 to 825 of the family's 1533-position model. The record is from RNAcentral.
UCGAGAAUCUUCCGCAAUGGACGAAAGUCUGACGGAGCGACGCCGCGUGAUGGAUGAAGUCCCUCUGGGACGUAAACAUCUUUUAUGAGGGAGAAAGUUUAUUGAUAGUACCUCACGAAUAAGGGGUUGCUAAACUCGUGCCAGCAGCAGCGGUAAUACGAGUGCCCCGAGCGUUAUCCGGAAUCAUUGGGCGUAAAGGGUGUGUAGGUGGCAUUGUUAGUCACACGUUAAACCCUGGGGCUUAACCCCAGAUCUGCGUGUGAUACGGCAAAGCUAGAGGAUGGCAGGGAUGUAUGGAACUCAUGGAGUAGGGGUGAAAUCCGUUGAUAUCAUGGGGAACACCAAAAGCGAAGGCAGUACAUUGGGCCACUCCUGACACUGAAACACGAAAGCGUAGGUAGCGAAUGGGAUUAGAUACCCCCGUAGUCCCUGAGCGGGCUGGCAAGGCGCAU